Molecule: regulatory RNA element, 84 nt
Organism: Blastococcus saxobsidens DD2
Lineage: Bacteria; Bacillati; Actinomycetota; Actinomycetes; Geodermatophilales; Geodermatophilaceae
Rfam family: Cyclic di-GMP-II riboswitch aptamer
Source: Rfam
GUCAGACCGUGACGCACUGAUCCGGGGCCUCCAUCUGGUCGCUUGGGCCCCGGGGAGCGAGUAGCGAAACCACCGCGGGAACCC